RNAcentral lists this long non-coding RNA (219 nucleotides) under Fukomys damarensis (Damara mole-rat). RNAcentral describes it as "lncRNA (ENSFDAG00000029499.1)". Lineage: Eukaryota; Metazoa; Chordata; Mammalia; Rodentia; Bathyergidae. The record is from RNAcentral.
CAAAUGUAUGCAGACUCAGAACCUCUCGUGUGUAAAAGCGAUGAAUGGAGAGAAUCUACCAAUGAACACAGCUGUUACAGUAACACCUCAGUUCACAAAUGCUUGUUUAUAAACAAUUCCAUCCACAAACACAAAAGCAUUGGGCAAAAUUUUGCUUCAGUUUGUGAACUCUGCGUCGGAUGAUGAAUGCAACCACCUCCAUCUUCCCCACCAAAACAC